This 1168-nucleotide long non-coding RNA is filed under the name Homo sapiens (human). Its description in RNAcentral is "non-protein coding lnc-AP3S1-2:1". Lineage: Eukaryota; Metazoa; Chordata; Mammalia; Primates; Hominidae. The record is from RNAcentral.
CAGCAACUGCACGGCUACUUCUCCAUUUAGCCAGACAGAGAAUAAAGGGUCCCUGUAUUCAUGCCUUCCUGGAAAUCUCAGUGCAAGGCCCUAUCAGGAGGUUUCCUGGAGCAGCUAAGGGAACAGCUAGACCACCCAGGAAGAAAUGACAGAAGCCUACCUGACUUCCAAUCUGCUUGCUUCAUGGUGUAAUGGGGGCCUAGACAGAAGCACCCCAAGGACACUUACAACAACUGUUCUGCCAGCUCUAGUCCAUUGGAGAAGAUGUGCCAACAUACCUUCUCACCAUCCCUAGAGCCCAACCUUGCUAUGGAAAGGUCAAACCCUUACCAUUGGCCCUGCCAAGGAUCCCCAGACAGAGAAGCACAAUGGAGGCCAUAAAUUAUGGCUUCUUAUCAUGGCCUCCACAUAACUUAAACUCUGGAUGGUGAAUGAAAUCUGGGGCCAAGUCUUAAAGGGUCAGGGUAGCCAAUGAGCAUAACUCAAUAUUUGUGUUUCUAAGAGAAAACCACAGAACCUCCAUAUCCAUGGCAAACUGGCCAGCCACAGGCUGGAUCCAGUGUGCAGUAGUGUUUUGUGUACACCAUUCACUAUUUGUCUACUUGGGUUAAAAAUGUUUUAUAUUAGUUAGCAAUGUUUAAACAUUGGGAGAAUUAAAGGGAAAUGAAAACGUACUUCCCACAAAUACUUGCACAUAAAUAUUCACAGCAGCAUUGUUUAUAAUUGCCCAAAACUAGAAACAACCCAAAUAUCCAUCAACUGAUGAAUGAUAAACAAGUUGUGGUAUAUUCAUCCAAUAAAACAAUAUUCAGCAAUAAAAAUAAACAAAUCAGGCACUUAAUAUAAUUGAAUAUCAAGGUCAUUAUGUUGAGUGAAAGAGGCCAGAAAAUAAAAGUAUACACUAUUUGAUUCCAUUUAUAUAAUAUUCUAGAAAAUGAAAACCAGUCUAUACUUACAGAAAACAAGGUGGUAGCUUACAGAGAUGGGGUAGAGGGAGGGAGAGAUGACAGAGAGGCAUAAAAAAACUUUCCGGACAAUGAAAAUGUUCUGUAUUUUAAUUGUGGUGAUGGUUUCAUGGAUGUACAAGUUCAUCAAAUCUCAUCAAGUUAAAUAUAUGCAUUUAUUUUAUAUUAAGUGUACCUCAAUAAAGCAGAAAAAUUUAAAAUUG